This 253-nucleotide ribosomal RNA is filed under the name uncultured bacterium. Its description in RNAcentral is "partial 16S ribosomal RNA". It matches the Rfam family "Bacterial small subunit ribosomal RNA", at positions 524 to 776 of the family's 1533-position model. The record is from RNAcentral.
UACGUAGGGUGCAGGCGUUAAUCGGAAUUACUGGGCGUAAAGCGUGCGCAGGCGGUUUGCUAAGACAGGUGUGAAAUCCCCGGGCUUAACCUGGGAACUGCGCUUGUUACUGGCAAGCUAGAGUGCGGCAGAGGGGGGUGGAAUUCCACGUGUAGCAGUGAAAUGCGUAGAGAUGUGGAGGAACACCGAUGGCGAAGGCAGCCCCCUGGGCUAACACUGACGCUCAUGCACGAAAGCGUGGGGAGCAAACAGG